This 306-nucleotide unclassified non-coding RNA is filed under the name uncultured fungus. Its description in RNAcentral is "sequence contains ITS1". The stretch from base 1 to 105 matches the Rfam family "5.8S ribosomal RNA", at positions 50 to 154 of the family's 154-position model. The record is from RNAcentral. Lineage: Eukaryota; Fungi.
GAGAUGCGAUAAGUCGUGUGAAUUGCAGAAUUCAGUGAAUCAUCGAAACUUUGAACGCACAUUGCGCCCAUUGGUAUUCCAAAGGGCAUGCCUGUUCGAGCGUCAUUGGUACCCUCAAGCUUUGCUUGGUGUUGGGCGUGUUGUCUCUAGCUUUGCUGGAGACUCGCCUUAAAGUAAUUGGCAGCCGGCCUACUGGUUUCGGAGCGCAGCACAAGUCGCACUCUCUAUCAGCAAAGGUCUAGCAUCCAUUAAGCCUUUUUUUCAACUUUUUACCUCGGAUGAGGUAGGGAUACCCGCUAACCUUAA